GUGAAUCAUCAAAUCUUUGAACGCAAAUUGCACUCUCCUCGGAGAGUAUGCCUGUUUGAGGGUCAGCCUAUAAAAAUCGACAUCGUUGCUCUUUCGCGGUGGCGUUCGCCGGAAAUUGGGGCAUCUUUUAUCCUUUUGAUUUAAGCGACGUAAAAUUUUCUUUUGGUUCUAUGACCGUUUCUAAUAUCU
RNAcentral lists this unclassified non-coding RNA (189 nucleotides) under Glomeraceae sp. RNAcentral describes it as "partial contains 5.8S ribosomal RNA and internal transcribed spacer 2". The stretch from base 1 to 65 matches the Rfam family "5.8S ribosomal RNA", at positions 84 to 154 of the family's 154-position model. The record is from RNAcentral. Lineage: Eukaryota; Fungi; Glomeromycota; Glomeromycetes; Glomerales; Glomeraceae.